This 499-nucleotide ribosomal RNA is filed under the name uncultured bacterium. Its description in RNAcentral is "partial 16S ribosomal RNA". It matches the Rfam family "Bacterial small subunit ribosomal RNA", at positions 28 to 507 of the family's 1533-position model. The record is from RNAcentral.
GACGAACGCUGGCGGCGUGCCUAAUACAUGCAAGUCGAGCGGACCGACCAGGAGCUUGCUCUUGUUCGGUUAGCGGCGGACGGGUGAGUAACACGUGGGUAACCUGCCCGUAAGACCGGGAUAACUCCGGGAAACCGGAGCUAAUACCGGAUAACACCGAAGACCGCAUGGUCUUUGGUUGAAAGGCGGCUUCGGCUGCCACUUACGGAUGGGCCCGCGGCGCAUUAGCUAGUUGGUGAGGUAACGGCUCACCAAGGCGACGAUGCGUAGCCGGCCUGAGAGGGUGACCGGCCACACUGGGACUGAGACACGGCCCAGACGCCUACGGGAGGCAGCAGUAGGGAAUCUUCCGGAAUGGACGAAAGUCUGACGGAGAGACGCCGAGGGAGCGAAGAAGGUCUUCGGAUCGUAAAGAUCUGUUGUUAGGGAAGAAGAAGCGUCGUUCGAACAGGGCGGCGCGGUGACGGUACCUAACGAGAAAGCCCCGGCUAACUACGUG